GGCUCCACACUGUCAGCAUAGAGCCCAACAUGGGGCUUGAUCUCACGGAUCGUGAGAUCAUGAUCUGAGCCAAAAUCAAGAGUUGGAUGCUCAACUGUCUGAGCCACCCAGGCGCCCCUUAAAAAAGUAAAAAAAAAAUUUUUUUUUAACAUUUAUUCAUUUUUGAGAGUGAGAGAGACAGAGCAUGAGUGGGGGAGGGGCGGAGAGAGAGGGAGACACAGAAUCCGAGGCAGGAUCCAGGCUCCGAACUGUCAGCACAGAGCCCAACGCGGGGCUCGAACUCACAGACGGCGAGAUCAUGAUCUGAGCCGAAGUCGGACGCUCAACCGACUGAGCCCCCCGGGCACCCCGGCUUAAAAAAGGUUUUUUAAGCAAUCUCUACCCCAAAUUUGGGCUCAAACCCACGACCCAAGAUCGGGAGUCUCAAGCUCCACCUGCUGAGCCAGCCGGGUGCCCCGGCUUUGCGGAGGUUUUAACGAGAAAUUCCAAACACGUACCAAAGCAGAACGGUGGAAUGAGCCCCACUCACCCCCCAGCUUGAGCAAUUAGCAAGUCAUGGCCAGUCCAACUCUAUGUCUACACUGACCCUCUUCUCUGCAUCCCUAGAUUGUUUGAAGCCGGUUGUAGCUGUUGGCAUCUCUAACAGCCAAGGAUUCCUUCUCAAAAACUUACUUACAACACAUCAGCAUGUCUAAAAAAUCAGGCUAUUCCUUAGUAUCAUCAAAGGGCAGUGUUGAAAUUUCCCAGAUUGCCUCACAAGUAUCCUUUCUAGAGUUGCCUCCUUGCGUUGCGUGGUUUUAGAGAGACCAAGCUGCUUUUGCCAGGACCGACCUGGUGAGCUCAUUCUCAGCCAUAAUGAGGUUUGAGGAAGUCCAAGUUUCUUCUCUGAAGUCGCACAGGAUGCUAUUCCCGCUCAGAUGUUUUCUGGAGGGUUGCUGAGGAACCGGUGUGCCUGCGUGGCCCACGUCACUGUGCCGCAGUGGCUGUCCGUCCUGCAACGCCAGUGGGGUGACUGAAAUCCUAAUUUGAGGGGUGCCUGGGCGGCUCAGUGGGUUAAGCGUCCGACUCUUGGUUUCAACUCCAGUUUUGAUCUCACGGUUUCGUGAGUUCGAGCCCCGCAUCAGGCUCUGCACUAAUGGUGCAGAAACUGCUUGGGAUUCUCUCUCCCUCCCUCUCUCUCAAAACAAAUCAAUUAAAAAAAAAAGAAAGAAAGAAAGAAAAAGAAAGGCUAAUUUGAGAGCCCCAGCGUAGUGCUGGAACUCACCAGCAAGACCUCUCCAGUCUCCCUCUCGGUUAUUAUACAGCGGCCGCCCCGCUCCUCAUCUGGGGGGUUUCCAGCCCCCAGCGGACACUGAAAGCAAGAACCCAUAUAUACCGUGUGCUUUCUGCUAACGCCUAAUGUAUACACCGGGCCCCGCAGGAGGUGAAAGCGGUAACUCACGGUAAAACAGAGUGAUUGCGACAGGACUGAAACACAGGUUAUGUGACUGUGCCCUCUCUCUGUCGUGUGCUUCCUCCUGGGAGGAUGUGAGGUGAUAAAGCGCCACGUGAGGAGGUGACAUGAGGGCACUGGAGCGGGCACGUGACUAACGUGGCGUUAGGCUGCGAGUGACCCUCUGAGGAGGCGUCAGGAGGACGACCAUCCGCGCCGGGAAACCCGCGUCGGCUGUAGGUGACUGAACCCACAGCAAGUGAAUUGUGGUGCCACUCUGGAUGGCCCUGUCCUCCUGUGACUCCUCAGUGACCUUCACCCCCCUGUGUGGCCAGAGAGCUGUCCAGGUCAUCAGCCUCCUAAGAGCAGGGUGAUGGGUACAGCUGUGCCGUCCUAAAAGACAUUUUGAGGACUAGGUCUCAUUGUCCUCCCUCAACUAUGGGGAACCAAGCCAGAGGACGGAGCUGCCAGAACUCGGGAUCGUGCAAGGCCUCGGCACAGAGGAAGAAAUGAGAGGUGGCGUAUGGGCCCUGCGUGUAGGAUGUCGGAAGAGGAAGGCCCGAGCGUUUAGAAGCACCAGGCCCACGGGAGUCUUGGGGACUAGCAGCCCUGGGAAGGUUCUGGAAAGCAGCCUACAGCUCUGAAUAGCUCUUGGGAGCAUAAAACAGAGAGAGACAGAGCAUGAGCAGGGGAGGGGCAGAGAGAGGAGGAGACCCAGAAUCCCAAGCAGGCUCCAGGCUCCCAGCUGUCAGCACAGAGCCCGACGUGGGGCUCGAACUCACAAACUGCAAGAUCAUGACCUGGGCUGAAGUUGGAUGCUUAACCGACUGAACCA
Molecule: long non-coding RNA, 2267 nt
Organism: Neofelis nebulosa (Clouded leopard)
Lineage: Eukaryota; Metazoa; Chordata; Mammalia; Carnivora; Felidae
Exons: 4
Source: RefSeq, a predicted model, not a curated record